This 1441-nucleotide long non-coding RNA is filed under the name Eucalyptus grandis. RNAcentral describes it as "long non-coding RNA (EGRA_LNC002253)". The record is from RNAcentral. Lineage: Eukaryota; Viridiplantae; Streptophyta; Magnoliopsida; Myrtales; Myrtaceae.
UUUUCUUCUUACCCUUCACUCACUUGAAUUUAUAGUAUUCAAGUGAGCAAAAUAAAGUUAUAAAAGUUAUGGCACUUGUGCUGUUAUUAUCCAAUUUUCAAGGCCACAGAAAACAAUGAGAGUAAGUGAAGUAUUAGGUGACAAUGACAAGUGGAAAUGAAAAUGAGUUUGCUAUUUUCUUGAUGUGAAAAUUGCAAGACAAUGUGAGUUGACUAUUCUACCCUUCCAAGUUGAUGGAAAGUGCACUUGGCAACACCAUCAAAUCAAGUACAAUAAGAAGCCCAAGAUUGAGUUUUGGGUCUGAUUGAGGCUGAAAAAGAACAAAGUGUAUGAUGUUAACAUAUACAAAAUAAGUUACCAAGGUUGAGUGAUAUAAUCUCGAAAGUGUAUUACGAAAAUCUGAAAUUAACCUAAUUCAUUCUACAAGUUAAAAAUAAAUUUCCACUAGUUUGUAAUAGCCAAAGAGAUGUGAAAAAAACCUUCUCUUAUGAAAAAUCAUUGAACUUAAUGUAAGUAUGCUUACUAAUAUGUUGCAAUUUAUUUUAAAUUUGAAAAGUCACUAGCUAUACAUCAAAAUUACCAAUUUUGUUAGGGUGGAAGUAAUUUUCCCCUUAACACUUGAAAAAGUUACUAGUUAAUCCAAACAUACACAAUUACAUGAAAGGUUACUGAACCUACACUAGUAAACAAACUUAAAUAAACCAAUAAUUUUUUCACAUAAAUGUUAUUAAUCAUCUAUAAAAGUUGCUGCUGACCAAUAAAUUGUCAUGAAAACUUAUUAGUCAUGGAAAAAAAAUUGUACUAAAUUGUUACUUCUCAUUUAUUGGAGAAUGUAUUGUUAUGGAAUUCAUUAGUUACACCAAAAAAAAAAAAAUUCAUUAAUAACUAUAGACAGAUGCCUAAAUGCUUACUUUCUUAAUGUGAAUAUAUUUAAUUAUAUAUAUAUAGAUUCCGUAGGUUCGCACGUUGUUUCUCUUCUUGCAGACUGAAACGGACGGCGAUGAGUCGAUGACUCAAUUCGGUAAGCGUCCAGAAGGCAGAGUCCCCUCUGACAUGUCCUUUUCGUUCCUCCCCCACUGUCCCCUCCGUCGCCGCCUCGUGCGAGUGGACCGUGAGAGUUGGGGCUGUAGCCAUGUGAUCUCAGUGGAGACGUCUGUAGCCAUGUGAUCUCAGUGGAGACGACUGGACCCACCCACUCAAUGUUCAUCACUGAAGAUGCCAUGUCCGUUCGUCCUCUUCAUCCUCCGCCUCUCGCGCACGGCUUGACGGGUGCAGUGGCGGCUGGAAGUUGGCGUGGGAUUGGCUUUCGUGACUUUAGUCGUCCGCAGCCUCCCAGACGAGGAACCGGUGGAGAAAGAUUAGGGUUUCGGUACUUGCCGUUUUAGCUUUAGGGGGAAGUUAGAGGUUUUUCUUGUGGUUCACGAAGAAGAAAGAUAAUUUU